This is a long non-coding RNA of Canis lupus familiaris (dog), 1429 nucleotides long. RefSeq lists it as uncharacterized. The transcript has 4 exons. NCBI's taxonomy places the organism in Eukaryota, Metazoa, Chordata, Mammalia, Carnivora, Canidae. The record is from RefSeq and is a predicted model, not a curated record.
GAAGCCCAUGAGCACCGGGUUGCCUGGGCGCUGGGUCACAUCCCACUGCAUGCCGCCGCUCUGAUAAAGAAACAGGGCGUAGGACCUGCUGCCGUCUGUGGAGAGGAUGGCCUGGGAGCCCAGGCUCUGACAGCAGUCACGCUUGCCCACGUUCACACCUUUGUCUCUCCUUGCUGGCUGCUGGGAGAUCCUGAAUGCUGGACUUUGAAAGGCUCACCUGGUAAAAUAUGGUCCCCUGGCCACUGGAAAAAUCAGCAUCGUCCCAGAAUGGAGCCACCAUGGCCACAGGGUCCCUGCCUGUGAAGCCUCUAAGGGGAGGAUUGGGGUAGGAGAAAAUCUGGUACUCUGACUCCGGGAAAAUGAUCUGGCCAUUAUCUGUGAACUGGGAACACAGAAGUUCUGGACACUCCUCUGUUUUAAGUCCUUCCUGACAAGCCCUCCCUGUUGGCCUGGAUACCACCGCAUCUCAUAGGGCCCACUCGGCCUCCUGGAAAUUCACCCAACACCCCACCCACCACGGCACCAUCCAAGUAUAAACCUGGCCGGGUCCUACCUGAUUGUAUCACAUGACGGCCUCAUUCUCAACAUUCUUCACCUGGUUUCCACACCCCCAAGUGUCUUGGGGGUCUCCUCCCCAUGCAAUACUGGGACUCCUUUUCAUGUCUACACUUUUUUUUUUUUUUUCAUGUCUACACUUUUAUUCCAGUUCUUCAAGCCCUCUUGCCUCCUUGGGAUGCUUCUCCUUCUCCAGCUCCUAUUCAUUCUUUCCAGGAAGCCGCCUCUUCGCCUUGAGCAUACCCCGACCUCCCCUGGGACCUUCCAUUGUGUCUAAUACCCUGCAUUUAUUCCUCUAAUCGCACCUAUCAAGGCAGCAGGUCCGUCUCUUACUAAACAGUACCGUGGUCACUUCUCUCCACCUCCCAGCCUGGUGCCAUGUACAGAGCCAGCCCUCCGCACCCAACUCUGAUGCUGUCCCAUAGCCCACUGUGGGAGUUGACGACCCGAGAGAGUCUAUGAGCAGGCGGGCUGAGACGAGUCUUCAGUUCCAUCUCCCCUCUAAAGGGGGUAGGGGAGCAGCUGGACUACCGAUGGCCCAGAGGAGGCAGCACACAUACCCACAGAACCAGCUCCCCCUGCUCCCCCAAAAGAGCCCUCACUGGUAGAUCUAAUCGAGCUGCCAAAACUACAGCAUCCACAUCUAGCUCAGAUCUCUAUAUCCCAGAGUGGAGGGACCCCACCUCUCCAGGGACAUUUACCUUUCUCUGGCUUGAUGGGGACUGGGGCAGCCGUUGAGUGUGCCGUGGAUGCUGCCGGAGGGAGAGUAGUGAGCGUCCGCGAGGUUGUUGAAGAUAGUGAUGUUGUUGUGCUACUCUGGCUGCCUAUCGCCAGGGAAGUUACUGUGGUUCCUGGGCAUAUAGGAGAGAAGAUU